This 512-nucleotide ribosomal RNA is filed under the name uncultured bacterium. RNAcentral's name for it is "partial 16S ribosomal RNA". It matches the Rfam family "Bacterial small subunit ribosomal RNA", at positions 28 to 523 of the family's 1533-position model. The record is from RNAcentral.
GACGAACGCUGGCGGCGUGCCUAAUACAUGCAAGUCGAGCGGAACUGGGGGAACUUGCUCCUUCCAGUUUAGCGGCGGACGGGUGAGUAACACGUGGGCAACCUGCCCUGCAGAUCGGGAUAACUCCGGGAAACCGGUGCUAAUACCGAAUAGUUUGGCGCCUCUCCUGAGGCGCUACGGAAAGACGGUUUCGGCUGUCACUGCAGGAUGGGCCCGCGGCGCAUUAGCUAGUUGGUGGGGUAACGGCCCACCAAGGCGACGAUGCGUAGCCGACCUGAGAGGGUGACCGGCCACACUGGGACUGAGACACGGCCCAGACUCCUACGAGAGGCAGCAGUAGGGAAUCUUCCGCAAUGGACGCAAGUCUGACGGAGCAACGCCGCGUGUGUGACGAAGGUUUUCGGAUCGUAAAACUCUGUUGUGAGGGAAGAACACGUACCAACUAACUAUUGGUACCUUGACGGUACCUCGCCAGAAAGCCACGGCUAACUACGUGCCAGCCGCCGCAGUAA